UUCGCAAUGCCCGAAAGGGUGACAAUGCGACGCCGCGUGAGCGAUGAAGGCUUUAGGGUUGUAAAGCUCUGUCAGCAGGGAUGAAAUACAUACGGGUCAAUACCCCGUAUGUUUGACGGUACCUGCAAAGGAAGCCCCGGCUAACUCCGUGCCAGCAGCCGCGGUAAUACAGAGGUGGCGAGCGUUGUUCGGUAUUAUUGGGCGUAAAGAGCACGUAGGUGGUUUUGUAAGUCAGGUGUGAAAGCCUUCUGUUCAAAGGAAGAACGGCAUCUGAAACUGCAGAUCUUGAGUGUAGGAGGGGAGAGUGGAACUUCUGGUGGAGCGGUGAAAUGCGUAGAUAUCUGGAGGAACACCUGUGGCGAAAGCGGCUCACUGGACCGUCUCUGACGCUGAGUGUGCGAAAGCUAGGGUAGCGAACGGGAUUAGAUACCCCGGUAGUCCUAGCCCUAAACGAUGGGCACUAAGUAGAGGGGUUUU
This 477-nucleotide ribosomal RNA is filed under the name uncultured anaerobic ammonium-oxidizing bacterium. Its description in RNAcentral is "bacterial SSU rRNA". It matches the Rfam family "Bacterial small subunit ribosomal RNA", at positions 365 to 832 of the family's 1533-position model. The record is from RNAcentral.